Molecule: ribosomal RNA, 418 nt
Filed under: uncultured eukaryote
Lineage: Eukaryota
Description: bacterial SSU rRNA
Rfam family: Eukaryotic small subunit ribosomal RNA
Source: RNAcentral
CAAUAGCGUAUAUUAAAGUUGUUGCGGUUAAAAAAGCUCGUAGUUGGAUUUCUGGGAGGGUGCCAAUGUCCGUCGUCGUACGUGUUGCAGCGGCGCCCUUCCAUCCUUCUGUUAACGACUUUGGGCAUUCAUUUGCCGGAGUCGGGCUCAGAUAUUUUUACCUUGAGAAAAUUAGAGUGUUUCAGGCAGGCUAGGCCGGAAUACAUUAGCAUGGAAUAAUGGAAUAGGACUACGGUCUCUUUGUUGGUUUUCUAGUACUGAAGUAAUGAUUGAUAGGGAUAGUUGGGGGGUGCUAGUAUUGACCGGCCAGAGGGUGAAAUUCUUGGAUUCGGUCAAGACUAACUUAUGCGAAAGCAUUCACCAAGGAUGUCUUCUUAAUCAAGAACGAAAGUUGGGGGAUCGAAGACGAUUAGAUACC